This 108-nucleotide ribosomal RNA is filed under the name Periophthalmus magnuspinnatus. Lineage: Eukaryota; Metazoa; Chordata; Actinopteri; Gobiiformes; Gobiidae. The record is from RNAcentral.
GAUUAGUGAUGUCAAAACCUGAUCUUGUCAGAUCUCUGAAGCUAAGCAGGGGUGAGCCUGGUUAGUACUUUGAUGAGAGACCGCUGGGAAUACCAGGUGCCACAAUGU